RNAcentral lists this ribosomal RNA (253 nucleotides) under uncultured bacterium. RNAcentral's name for it is "partial 16S ribosomal RNA". It matches the Rfam family "Bacterial small subunit ribosomal RNA", at positions 524 to 776 of the family's 1533-position model. The record is from RNAcentral.
UACGGAGGGGGCCAGCGUUGUUCGGAAUCAUUGGGCGUAAAGGGCGCGUAGGCGGCCGAUCAAGUCCGACGUGAAAUCCCUCGGCUUAACCGGGGAACUGCGUCUGAUACUGGAUGGCUUGAGGUUGGGAGAGGGAUGCGGAAUUCCAGGUGUAGCGGUGAAAUGCGUAGAUAUCUGGAGGAACACCGGUGGCGAAGGCGGCAUCCUGGACCAAUUCUGACACUGAGGAGCGAAAGCCAGGGGAGCAAACGGG